UGGAAGAAAUAUUGUUUUCCUUUCUUCUCUUUCUUUCGGUCAUAUUUCUCUCCACGCCAAAACAAUCUCUUCACCAUUUUAUUAUCCAAACUUUCAGAGCUUUCUUUUGAGAGAAGAUUUAGAGAGAACCUGAGGAAGAAGAAGAAGAUUUCUUAGUUCUAAGGUUGAAGAAGUAGGGAAAAAACUCAAAGGACGUUUCAAUCAUGGCAGAUUUUCACCCACUCUGCACACUUCUAGUUUCUUAUUUGGUUUGAUCUUUUCAAGAAGAACUAAGAGAUGAAGUUUGAAUUUCCUGAAAGACCAUGAAUUUAUUAUUGUAUCACGUGCAUAAUAAGAUGUUACGUAUAAAGCAUCUUUGCAAAUAUGGUUUUACAGUGGUAGAUUCGUCAUUUAUGACUGGCAUCAACGAAGAACCCACAAUUAUUCAACGGCUUUUUGAUGAUCGUGUGCUAACACCAGACAAUAAGAAGGUUAAAUGGACAAACACAACAACACACUUAGCUUUAUGGUUGGAAAGCGAUUUAGAUUACUAUUUUAAUUCAGCUAUUGGUUCAAUCCAAGAUAAAGUAGGGUGCGCAGAUGUCAACUACGUGAUUGGCUGCAUCAACAGAAAAGAACAUUGGUUGGCUAUUGCAGCUGACGUGAAGAAAUGCAAGAUCUAUGUGUUUGACUCUAUGCCAAAAUAUGUUGAACAAAAACUUGUUGAUGUAGCUAUUGCAAUACCUGCAUGAUGCAUCCUCUCAUUGGCAAUUGCUAUUGGAUUACAUGAGCAAAGAAAACAUUUCAAGUACGGCCCUUGGCCAGUAGUAAGAUCGAAUACCACAUUACAAAAAGACA
Long non-coding RNA from Cucumis melo (muskmelon), 837 nucleotides. RefSeq lists it as uncharacterized. Lineage: Eukaryota; Viridiplantae; Streptophyta; Magnoliopsida; Cucurbitales; Cucurbitaceae. The record is from RefSeq and is a predicted model, not a curated record. The transcript has 3 exons.